UAAGGAAUAUUGGUCAAUGGACGCAAGUCUGAACCAGCCAUGCCGCGUGAAGGAUUAAGGUCCUCUGGAUUGUAAACUUCUUUUAUCCGGGACGAAAAAGGCGAUUCUUCGUCACUUGACGGUACCAGAUGAAUAAGCACCGGCUAACUCCGUGCCAGCAGCCGCGGUAAUACGGAGGGUGCAAGCGUUAUCCGGAUUCACUGGGUUUAAAGGGUGCGUAGGCGGGCAGGUAAGUCAGUGGUGAAAAUCCCUGGAGCUUAACUCCAGAACUGCCAUUGAUACUAUCUGUCUUGAAUAUUGUGGAGGUAAGCGGAAUAUGUCAUGUAGCGGUGAAAUGCUUAGAUAUGACUAGAACACCUAUUGCGAAGGCAGCUUACUACGCAUAUAUUGACGCUGAGGCACGAAAGCGUGGGGAUCAAACAGGAUUAGAUACCCUGUAGUCCACGCCCUAAACGAUGGAUACUCGACAUACGCGAUACACUGUGUGUGUCUGAGCGAAAGCAUUAAGUAUCCCACCUGGGAAGUACGACCGCAAGGUUGAAACUCAAAUGAAUUGACGGGGUCAUAGCU
RNAcentral lists this ribosomal RNA (570 nucleotides) under uncultured bacterium. RNAcentral describes it as "partial 16S ribosomal RNA". It matches the Rfam family "Bacterial small subunit ribosomal RNA", at positions 355 to 926 of the family's 1533-position model. The record is from RNAcentral.